GAUGAACGCUGGCGGCGCGCCUAACACAUGCAAGUCGAACGAGUAAGACGCCUUCGGGCGUGGAUAGAGUGGCGAACGGGUGAGUAACACGUGACCAACCUUCCCCCUCCUCCGGGACAACCUCGGGAAACCGAGGCUAAUACCGGAUACUCCGGGCACCCCGCAUGGGAUGCCCGGGAAAGCCCUGGCAGGAGGGGAUGGGGGCGCGGCCCAGCAGUGAGACGGCGGGGUAACGGCCCAACGUGCCCGCAACGGGUAGCCGGGCUGAGAGGGUGAUCAGCCACAUUGGGGAUGAGAAGCGGCCCAGAGUCCUACGGGAGGCAGGAGUGGGAAAUUUUGCGCAAUGGGGGCAACCCGGACGCAGCGGCGCCGCGUGCGGGACGAAGUCAUUCGUGACGUAAACCGCUUUCAGCGAGGAAGAACCAUGACGGUACUCGCAGAAGAAGCCCCGGCUAACUACGUGCCAGCCGCCGCAGUAA
RNAcentral lists this ribosomal RNA (479 nucleotides) under uncultured bacterium. Its description in RNAcentral is "partial 16S ribosomal RNA". It matches the Rfam family "Bacterial small subunit ribosomal RNA", at positions 28 to 523 of the family's 1533-position model. The record is from RNAcentral.